Non-coding RNA from Nicotiana tabacum (common tobacco), 1024 nucleotides. The record is from RefSeq and is a predicted model, not a curated record. Lineage: Eukaryota; Viridiplantae; Streptophyta; Magnoliopsida; Solanales; Solanaceae.
AGGAAACGGGCAUUUGAAGUACUCUUGUUUAUUUGUCAAUCAGAUGUUGAAUAAGUUUCGCAAAAAUUGAUAAUAUAGUUAUAAUUGCAGUUUUGAUAUCAGUUGGUUGAAGUCAUAGUUUUGAAAGAAAUCUUGUGCUUGUAGAGAUCAGUGAACAAAUCUCUUGUAUUACAUGAGUUACAUGCCGAAGUAUAAUUUUUCAGUUUCCCAAUCAAAAUGAAAAACGUAGAAUGUCCAUUGCUGUCACACAUACACGUUCUGCUUUAACUACUGUUUCUGUUUAUUCCUUUUGGAGAUUUGCUGCAUCUCUUUUUGCUUGUUUCAACCAAUUGAUGGAUCUCAGUCUAUUUGUUCGGUCUUUUUUUUUUUAAGAUGCCAAGGUAUCCCAAGAGUGUUGUCUCUCUAUCAUAUAGCCAUGAUGGAUUGCUUUUAGCCGUUGCAUCCAGUUAUGCAUACCAAGAAGCUAAUGAAAUAGAAGAGCCACCUCAGAUAUUUAUACAUGAAAUGGGGAACUUUUAUCUCACGUCGCCUUCUUCUGGAGCUUCAAAGUACAAAUGACUGCAAAUACACAUCUCAGAUUCUGGUUGUUGCUUCUGUUUCCUUUAUACAAGUCAUCUUGUUUACUUGAUGCAGUAGUUAUCACUUAUCAAUCCUUAAUAAUAUAUGGUUGCUGAUAAAAAGAUUUGCUUUCCCUCAUUAUUCUCUAGUUCAAGCUACAACUCUUAUACAGUAAUUUUUGCUGGUACCUGUGCACGAAUUGGCUUUUCCUGGCUCGCGUUCCCUGAUGUCUAUUUUGACUCUUACCAAGAUUAGAAGGAAAGUGCUCAACAGAAAAUUGGAUACCAGAAUGUAGAAUUUUCACUCAUGUAUUAAUGUCUACUAACAAAGUGUUUGCUCCAAGUGGAAUAUAUUUCGGAGUUGUAUUUUUCAUCAACUGUGAAAGAAUGUGUUUCUUGAGAAAUCGUAUUUUAUGUUCUUUUGCUUGGUUGAGGUUAUAGCAAAUGUUUUUCUUCUUUAGGUUAUA